GACGAACCGUCCAAACGUUACUCGGAAUCACUGGGCUUAAAGGGUGCGUAGGCGGCCUGGUAAGUUGGGUGUGAAAGCCCUCGGCUCAACCGAGGAAAUGCGCCCAAUACUGUCGGGCUUGAGGAAGAUAGAGGUGAGCGGAACUAAGGGUGGAGCGGUGAAAUGCGUUGAUAUCCUUAGGAACACCAGUAGCGAAAGCGGCUCACUGGGUCUUUUCUGACGCUGAGGCACGAAAGCUAGGGGAGCGAACGGG
Molecule: ribosomal RNA, 253 nt
Filed under: uncultured bacterium
Lineage: Bacteria
Description: partial 16S ribosomal RNA
Rfam family: Bacterial small subunit ribosomal RNA
Source: RNAcentral